Perca flavescens (yellow perch) is the source of this 239-nucleotide long non-coding RNA. RefSeq lists it as uncharacterized. The transcript is spliced from 3 exons. NCBI's taxonomy places the organism in Eukaryota, Metazoa, Chordata, Actinopteri, Perciformes, Percidae. The record is from RefSeq and is a predicted model, not a curated record.
GGAAGAAGAAAAAUCUGAGCUCCACCACUGGACCACAUGGACCUGUAGAGAUAGAGUUAGACUCUUGUCCUGCGUAUGAGAACAUCUCAGACACUGCAGCACAGACAGAAGACCCAGAGGAGCAGGAUGUCCUGGUGUGAAGUCCAGUCAGAUGCAGCUGAACCAGAGGCUGGACUCACCUGAUGGAAACAAAGUAGUACGACAUUGAAAUAUCCCUGAGGAGAGCGAGGCUGUGGAGG